Molecule: ribosomal RNA, 433 nt
Filed under: uncultured bacterium
Lineage: Bacteria
Description: partial 16S ribosomal RNA
Rfam family: Bacterial small subunit ribosomal RNA
Source: RNAcentral
AACGAACGCUGGCGGCAUGCCUAACACAUGCAAGUCGAACGAGACCUUCGGGUCGAGUGGCGCACGGGUGCGUAACGCGUGGGAACCUGCCUUUAGGUUCGGAAUAACUCAGAGAAAUUUGAGCUAAUACCGGAUGAUGUCUUCGGACCAAAGAUUUAUCGCCUUUAGAUGGGCCCGCGUUGGAUUAGCUAGUUGGUGGGGUAAAGGCCUACCAAGGCGACGAUCCAUAGCUGGUCUGAGAGGAUGAUCAGCCACACUGGGACUGAGACACGGCCCAGACUCCUACGGGAGGCAGCAGUGGGGAAUAUUGGACAAUGGGCGAAAGCCUGAUCCAGCAAUGCCGCGUGAGUGAUGAAGGCCUUAGGGUUGUAAAGCUCUUUUACCCGAGAUGAUAAUGACAGUAUCGGGAGAAUAAGCUCCGGCUAACUCCGUG